GACGAACGCUGGCGGCGUGCUUAACGCAUGCAAGUCGAACGAUGAAGCCGGAGCUUGCUCUGGUGGAUUAGUGGCGAACGGGUGAGUAACACGUGAGUAACCUGCCCUUGACUCUGGGAUAAGCGUUGGAAACGACGUCUAAUACCGGAUACGAGCUAGGACCGCAUGGUCACUAGCUGGAAAGAAUUUCGGUCAAGGAUGGACUCGCGGCCUAUCAGUUAGUUGGUGAGGUAACGGCUCACCAAGACGACGACGGGUAGCCGGCCUGAGAGGGUGACCGGCCACACUGGGACUGAGACACGGCCCAGACUCCUACGGGAGGCAGCAGUGGGGAAUAUUGCACAAUGGGCGCAAGCCUGAUGCAGCAACGCCGCGUGAGGGAUGACGGCCUUCGGGUUGUAAACCUCUUUUAGUAGGGAAGAAGCGAAAGUGACGGUACCUGCAGAAAAAGCACCGGCUAACUACGUGCCAGCCGCCGCGGUAA
This 484-nucleotide ribosomal RNA is filed under the name uncultured bacterium. RNAcentral's name for it is "partial 16S ribosomal RNA". It matches the Rfam family "Bacterial small subunit ribosomal RNA", at positions 28 to 523 of the family's 1533-position model. The record is from RNAcentral.